AUGGACCAGAUGCGCGCGGACCUGGCGGAGAUGAAGACGACCAGUGCGUUGGUCGCGGCAUCGGUCAAAUCGAUGUCGGAGACCAUCCAGGCCAUGUCGAGCUGGAUGCCGAAGGUCGAUAAAUCGAUCGGCUCGCUGCAGUCAGCCAUCACUGAGGUGGGCGCUCGGGUGGCAGUGCUGGAAGCAGAGCAACCACCAGCAAUGACCCCUAUUCCACCUCGGCCCCAUGGGCACGGCGUUGACAAUCAGCACCAGGGUACUGCGCUUGGAGCUAACAACGCUCCCGCGCCUACCCUGGGCAGGGGUAAGCGUGAUUUCGCCCCUACACCAAUUCCUUUUGACUUGGAGCACAGCGCAUAUUCAUCUGAUCACAUUCAUGGCUCUGGUUUUCGCUCGGGACAUUCAGGUGGUCGCAUGCCGAAAACUGAUUUCCCAAAAUUUGAUGAGGACAAUCCUACAUGGUGGAAAACCAUAGCUGAAAAGUAUUUUGCUAUGUAUGCUGUGCCACAUGAAACUUGGGCUAGUUUUGCAACCUUGCAUUUUUGUGGCAAUGCUGCCUUGUGGUUA
Molecule: ribosomal RNA, 567 nt
Filed under: Triticum aestivum (bread wheat)
Lineage: Eukaryota; Viridiplantae; Streptophyta; Magnoliopsida; Poales; Poaceae
Description: partial small subunit ribosomal RNA
Source: RNAcentral